UGCUAAUACCGCAUAACAACUUGGACCGCAUGGUCCGAGCUUGAAAGAUGGCUUCGGCUAUCACUUUUGGAUGGUCCCGCGGCGUAUUAGCUAGAUGGUGGGGUAACGGCUCACCAUGGCAAUGAUACGUAGCCGACCUGAGAGGGUAAUCGGCCACAUUGGGACUGAGACACGGCCCAAACUCCUACGGGAGGCAGCAGUAGGGAAUCUUCCACAAUGGACGAAAGUCUGAUGGAGCAACGCCGCGUGAGUGAAGAAGGGUUUCGGCUCGUAAAACUCUGUUGUUAAAGAAGAACAUAUCUGAGAGUAACUGUUCAGGUAUUGACGGUAUUUAACCAGAAAGCCACGGCUAACUACGUGCCAGCAGCCGCGGUAAUACGUAGGUGGCAAGCGUUGUCCGGAUUUAUUGGGCGUAAAGCGAGCGCAGGCGGUUUUUUAAGUCUGAUGUGAAAGCCUUCGGCUCAACCGAAGAAGUGCAUCGGAAA
This 485-nucleotide ribosomal RNA is filed under the name Lactiplantibacillus plantarum. Its description in RNAcentral is "bacterial SSU rRNA". It matches the Rfam family "Bacterial small subunit ribosomal RNA", at positions 161 to 632 of the family's 1533-position model. Lineage: Bacteria; Bacillati; Bacillota; Bacilli; Lactobacillales; Lactobacillaceae. The record is from RNAcentral.